RNAcentral lists this long non-coding RNA (546 nucleotides) under Brassica napus (rape). RNAcentral describes it as "long non-coding RNA (BNAP_LNC010567)". The record is from RNAcentral. Lineage: Eukaryota; Viridiplantae; Streptophyta; Magnoliopsida; Brassicales; Brassicaceae.
CGUUAGGUGGGUGAUGGAGACUUUUGUUUCUAAUAAUUUUACCUUUCUUAUUUUACUUUUUUGAGUUUGCCAGAUGAAGGCAAUAGUCAUCAGGGUUAGUUUCAAAAAGAAAAAAUAAAAAAAUAAUCAGGGGAUCUCCUAAUAUUUAAAUAUGUAUAAGAUAACUAUCAACUGAUAUAGUGGCCGCUGGAGACUUUGUUUCUCGUAAUUUUUAUUUUCGUAUUUUACUCUUGAGUUUGCCAAAUGAAGGCAAUAGUCAUCAGGGAUCUUCUAGUAUUUAAAUAUGUAUUCAUAACAAUUAACGGAGAAAUUUCAAAAUCUAUUUUUCCAUUACAAAUCGUAAAACUAAGUUUUUCUGUAAACCGAAAUUGUCUGUUUAAAUCGAUAAAUCAAGUUUUUCCGUUAAAACCACAAAACAAAAUUUUCAGCUAAAACCAUAAAAUUAAUUUUUUAGCAAAAAUCAUAAAAUUAUAUUUUCUUUGCUAAAAUCACAAAACCCGUCAAAAUCACAAAUUUUGUUUUCUCAUUAAAACUACAAAAAUAAGG